GGAUGAAGAACGCAGCGAAAUGCGAUAAGUAAUGUGAAUUGCAGAAUUCAGUGAAUCAUCGAAUCUUUGAACGCACAUUGCGCCCGCUGGUAUUCCGGCGGGCAUGCCUGUUCGAGCGUCAUUUCAACCCUCAAGCUCUCCGGAGUUUGGUGUUGGGGCGCCUGGGGCUUUUCGACCUCAGGGCCCUCAAGUCCAUCGGCGGGACCGCCAGGACACUGAGCGCAGUAGUAUUAUUUCGCUCGGUAGGAUCUUCCACGGCGGGUCGAUCUGGCCGCUAAACCCCCCAAUUCUCACCAAAGGUUGACCUCGGAUCAGGUAGGAAUACCCGCUGAACUUAAGCAUAUCAAUAAGCGGAGGA
RNAcentral lists this unclassified non-coding RNA (358 nucleotides) under soil metagenome. Its description in RNAcentral is "partial contains 5.8S ribosomal RNA, internal transcribed spacer 2, and large subunit ribosomal RNA". The stretch from base 2 to 121 matches the Rfam family "5.8S ribosomal RNA", at positions 35 to 154 of the family's 154-position model. The record is from RNAcentral.